Long non-coding RNA from Vigna angularis (adzuki bean), 1433 nucleotides. RefSeq lists it as uncharacterized. The transcript has 2 exons. NCBI's taxonomy places the organism in Eukaryota, Viridiplantae, Streptophyta, Magnoliopsida, Fabales, Fabaceae. The record is from RefSeq and is a predicted model, not a curated record.
UUGAGUACAGCCGUGUAGAAGUAAAAAGCUCAUGGAAUAAAAUAAGAUGCAACUAGUAAAAUAAGCAACCAAAUUCAAUUCAAAUUGGAAAUGACAGUACACAACACGUUAACAGCAAAGAAGGAAGUGUACGUAUUCUUCCACAUGUUUAGAACAAUAACUUCACUCUUGGUUCAAGCAUUAAUAAACAAACCAAACCUAUUCAAACUAAACCCCAUUCCAUUAUGCAGACAGAGAAUCCAAACCAGAGUUCUUGCUUGUGGUGGCAGCUAACGCAUUUCUCCUCUCUUGCUCUCCAAACAAAUUGUUUUUUUCUUCAGAGAACUCCAGCCCCUCAGAGUAGUCUCCAGACUCCAAGUAGCAGCCCUCCAACAAAGACGUUCACAGCCAAUAGUUUCAAAACCAAAAACCCAGAGUGUGUGUAGCCGUGAGUUCUGUAACUAAGAGUAGUGUCCAGAACCUCUGAAUGUAACCGAAUGUGUAUAGUCGUUCCUCCUUUUGAGCUUGUAAGUCUCUUCUUUCCAAAAAGGAAAACCCAGCCAGCUAUGAGCCAUCUCUUUCCGUUCAAUCAUGGCCUGCUCUCCACGUCCUCUGCUAAGCUUUUCAGUGAGGAUAAUAUUCCCUUCAGUGGCUGCUCCCGCUUUUUAUCCCUUCAUAUAUUUUGUUGAUCCUUAGUUGUCCAAGGGCCGUGUGUUUUAAUCUUUGCUGCACUGUGGCUUCUCUAAUGAAAGGGGUAAAUCCUCAACUAUCACUCACUUACUUCAAUCUCUCAUGCGCUGCUUCGAGAGUGGUGGCCCUUUUUAUUCAAGCAUUUGUGAUGUUUUGGUGUGUGCCAACGUGGUUGUCAUGGGCCAUGCUAUCACUUUCCAAUCAAUUUCUGAGAGAGCCGUGAACAUCUCCACCUGAUACCAAUUCCAUUCUCCAUUUUGCAGUUUUAACCGAGAGCUUCUCAGGUUGGUCCGUGAAGUGUAUGGGCGUGCUCUGCUUCCAGCUAUAAAACAAUCAAACUAAUUAAAUAUGGCUUAAUCUCCCAAGCCGUGACACAUGUGUGCUUGUGUUGUGCUCUUUCCGUAACAGCCCCAAAGGAGAAUGUUUCUCCCAAACCAUUUGAAAACCACGUUCUCAGCAGAAAGUUGGAAUGCCCACUUGAAUAUUGCCUAAAAUGAAUUGUGGGGGCCGUGUGCUUUUAUUCUUUUCAGAGCAAUGACACUUCAAAAACCACUCAGCAGAAUUCCGAACGUGAUUUGUUCCCAAGCAUCAAAAAUGUGGCAGCACAUUUGUUAUCUUUCAGCUAUAAAACCGUGACACCACCUACAAACAAAAAUAUUCCACUCCUAAUUUUUCACUUCCACACACAAAAUAAAUCAAUCCAGUGUAUCUUUUUUCUAUUAAUUAACACAGUGUAAAAGUGAAUAUUCUUCCAAACGUCCCAA